Molecule: ribosomal RNA, 825 nt
Filed under: Shewanellaceae bacterium Aa5
Lineage: Bacteria; Pseudomonadati; Pseudomonadota; Gammaproteobacteria; Alteromonadales; Shewanellaceae
Description: bacterial SSU rRNA
Rfam family: Bacterial small subunit ribosomal RNA
Source: RNAcentral
ACAUGCAUUCGAGCGGCAGCGGGAAGAUAGCUUGCUAUCUUUGCCGGCGAGCGGCGGACGGGUGAGUAAUCCCUAGGGAUCUGCCCAGUCGAGGGGAAUAACAGUUGGAAACGACUGCUAAUACCGCAUACGGCCUACGGGGGAAAGGAGGGGACCUUCGGGCCUUCCGCGAUUGGAUGAACCUAGGUGGGAUUAGCUAGUUGGUGAGGUAAUGGCUCACCAAGGCGACGAUCCCUAGCUGUUCUGAGAGGAUGAUCAGCCACACUGGCACUGAGACACGGCCCAGACUCCUACGGGAGGCAGCAGUGGGGAAUAUUGCACAAUGGGGGAAACCCUGAUGGAGCCAUGGCGCGUGUGUGAAGAAGGCCUUCGGGUUGUAAAGCACUUUCAGUAGGGAGGAAAGGUUAACAAUUAAUACUUGUUAGCUGUGACGUUACCUACAAAAGAAGGACCGGCUAACUCCGUGCCAGCAGCCGCGGUAAUACGGAGGGUCCGAGCGUUAAUCGGAAAAACUGGGCGUAAAGCGUGCGCAGGCGGUUAUUUAAGCCAGAUGUGAAAGCCCCGGGCUCAACCUGGGAAUUGCAUUUGGAACUGGGUAACUAGAGUCUUGUAGAGGGAGGUAGAAUUUCAGGUGUAGCGGUGAAAUGCGUAGAUAUCUGAAGGAAUACGGGUGGCGAAGGCGGCCUCCUGGACAAAGACUGACGCUCAUGCACGAAAGCGUGGGGAGCAAACAGGAUUAGAUACCCUGGUAGUCCACGCCGAAAACGAUGUCUACUCGGAGUUUGGUGCCUUGAGCACUGGGCUCUCCAGCUAACGCAAUAAGUA